Non-coding RNA from Taeniopygia guttata (zebra finch), 694 nucleotides. The record is from RefSeq and is a predicted model, not a curated record. NCBI's taxonomy places the organism in Eukaryota, Metazoa, Chordata, Aves, Passeriformes, Estrildidae.
CCACUCAGCCCCAGUGCACAGGGCUGGCAGUGACACCGACCCUGCUGUGGAACAGAACAACCAAGCCCUGCUCCAAGCAGGAAUCUCAAACCCCAGCCAGGGCACAACUGCAGCCUUGCAGCUGCACUGGGAAUAUGCUGGGAGUGUCAGUGACCCAGAAAGGAAAAGAAGCCUUAAAUUCAUUUUCAUUGAAAAUUGAGGAGGUCCACUGCAAGUUUCAGAUCUUGGAGGCCCAGGGGAUUUUCAGCAACAGCUUCAGCUGGGUAUCAGGGAGCAGAAGAGGGACAUCAACUCUGGCAGAGACAGCAUCCAUCCCUCCAGAAACUACAGAUAUUAUGACAUGUUCACAACUGAGCUAAUCAGUCUCAUUCCAAACAGAAGCUGCAUUUAUCAUCUCAGAACAGCAGACUUUUUUCUUCAUUAUCCAAGUGCAUCAAUCCCAGAGGCCUGAUCCAGCCCUUGCAGCUGACAGCAAAGUGCUGCACUGACUUCUACAGCCUCUGGACAUGACUCAAAAAAUCAAUGCAAGGAGCAAAAGGUCACAUUCUCCCCAAGCAUCAACUACCUGUUGAACCAAGACAGACUUGCAGAUGCCGGCACACUUGGACAUAAAGCGACCAACUGUUAUUAAAUUUAUUUCUAAGUACAAUAUCUGUAUCCCCACACCUGUGACUAAAUAAACCUGCUCCUCACA